RNAcentral lists this ribosomal RNA (121 nucleotides) under Rhinopithecus bieti (black snub-nosed monkey). The record is from RNAcentral. Lineage: Eukaryota; Metazoa; Chordata; Mammalia; Primates; Cercopithecidae.
GUCUAUGGCCAUACCACCCUGAACGCGCCCGAUCUCGUCUUAUCUCUGGAAGCUAAGUAGGGUCAGGCCUGGUUAGUACUUAACUGGGAGACCGCCUGGAAUUGGCUUCCCGCUCUCUCCC